Long non-coding RNA from Chrysolophus pictus (golden pheasant), 2071 nucleotides. NCBI's taxonomy places the organism in Eukaryota, Metazoa, Chordata, Aves, Galliformes, Phasianidae. The record is from Ensembl.
AUGGAUGCAGUGUUAAGAGUCUCUGCUGCUGGGGCCACAGAGUGUGAGGAAAGUUCCAAAGACUGCAGUCCACUGGGCUCUUGGGGUUUUACUGAACAGUGGAGGUGGAGAGAAAGGAUGCUGGACCAUUUUAAUUCAAAAGAGGAAAGACACAGACAGUCCUAUUGUCAGAGCCUUCAUUCAAGUCCAUUGAAGGAGCUGGAAGCAUCACUGAAGACAGAAGGACGUCAAGGAUUACCUGCCUCACUCCUCACCAGUUGCUGUAAAGAAAAAGUCUACAUUCUCAAAUGGUUACUUGUCUGCUCUCAGACCCUGCUCUACGGUCACAUUUCCCACAACUUUAUUUCAGAGAGUCCUGCACUGACCGUGUUCACCCCUCCCGUAUUUCUUCCACACACUCGGGGUUGUUUAUCCAUACUUGCAUGCAAAUAUCCCAUCUAAUUUUGUUCUUUUAAAAUGCCGUUUAAAUACAGCUUUUCAGGGAAACAGCCUGUUUCAAUUUAUCUUAGUUGAAAGUAGGGCUAUAAAUCUCUCCGGUUUAUUUUAUUGAUCUCAGACAAAAUUACAAAUAUAAAUUACAGCUGCUGCAAAUUAAAUGUUCUAAUGACUGAAAGCAAAGGCGCUCAUGCCCGUAACACGUGCAGCAAAGACACAGCAGACAACAGCCACUGCCUGCUCUCUGUGCAAACCCUCAGCCACCGUGCUUCUCCACCUGCAGGCAGCUUAAUACACCCACCACGAAAGCUCAGUGAGAAACACUGCACUUCAAGUGGCAAUAUAUGUUCUGUGUAGCCCAUGCUGAAAUACAGAAAUCUAUCAACGGUUUUACUGUCCCAACACUUAUCCCCAUUCUCAAUCUUACUAUAAAUGCUGGCCACGGGGUCACGCUCCACAAAGGCAAAUAUCAGGUGUUGCUGCUUCAGGUAGCACGCGUUUCCUAUGGCGGAGCUCCCAUUUCACAAGGCAGCAUAAUCAUCAGUUUUCUACUCCGCUGACACUCAGACCCUUAUGCACAAAGGUUUCUGUUUACCAGGUCAUAAAAUUGCAAGUAUAAUAGCAGUGACUUUGCUGCACUUGAUAAAACCGUAAAACAUUUCAUUUCGCUGCCUACUGAGCUUUAAAAAAAAAAAUGACAUUGGAAAGGAGACAACAUUCUUGUUACCAUCAAAGUAUUUCAAAAUAUCUACUUUUCUGCUUGUGAUCUGUGGACGUAUGUUUUUCCUUCUCUCCACUUUUGCUACUAUUUUUAGACAUGAGCCGAAAAAUCCAGAAAAAAAGAUAACUUUUAUUCUUGCUUAAGUUAUGAUCACAAAGCCUCUGAAUAUAUUUAUAUCUGUACAUAGUAGAAGUAUUCACAUUCCUACACAUUCUACAAGAGAGGAACCCUGGCAACUAGACAAACUCUGCAUUUAAUCCGCACUCAAAAAAACAACCUAACAAAAAACAACCACAAGACACAUGGAAAAUGCCACGACUGUCUCUCUGGCUCGUGGAACUGAUUUGCUCCUAAGCCAGAUUCAGAUGGACCUAACAGACCCUCCCAACUUGCAAGCUGCCCAUAGAUGGCCCUUCUGUGCUCACAGCAGGCAGAACACCUUGAGUUUGUCUGCCCUCAUCAUCCAAGCCAAGAAGUAAGAAAAAGUAGUAAGAUUCAGAAAAAAUAUCUUCUUCCCUGAUAUCAGUCAAGCUGCAGUUAAGGAGAGACCUCCAGAGAUAGCUGGUACCCAUGGCAUCUCUGUGCUUUUUGAAGUCAGGUGUUUUCUUGAAAGACAAGCAUUCAGUCAAGUUCUCCAAAUCCUUGCUUUUUUAAUGGAGAAAUUAAUGGGAACCUCACUCUUAUUCCCAGCCUGAUAGCAGUAGAGCAGUACGAGCAGGGUUUCUCAGGGUGGGUUUUGGUUGGCCUCUGCUCUGGAAACAGUGUUUAUGUAAACUGCCAUCUGACAUUCUGUUUUAUCCUCCACUGUACAUCAGUUUCUGUAAUUUCAUUCAUGAUUUACUUUGACCUUUAGCUGUGUUUGAUAUUUUCUGGUACAAAAGCUUGACACUUAAUAAAGGAAAUUUCAAGAAAACA